GCCCAGGUGGCGAAAUUGGUAGACGCACUAGCUUCAGGUGCUAGCGGCCGCAAGGUCGUGGAAGUUCGAGUCUUCUCCUGGGCACCA
RNAcentral lists this transfer RNA (87 nucleotides) under Alphaproteobacteria bacterium. Its description in RNAcentral is "tRNA-Leu". It matches the Rfam family "tRNA". Rfam says of the family: Transfer RNA (tRNA) molecules are approximately 80 nucleotides in length. Their secondary structure includes four short double-helical elements and three loops (D, anti-codon, and T loops). Lineage: Bacteria; Pseudomonadati; Pseudomonadota; Alphaproteobacteria. The record is from RNAcentral.